GUUCUUGUGCCACUUCAGACUCCUCCUUCACCAAGUGGCUCAGUGGCUCCCCGGGCCCAGAGGGUAAAUUACCAAGUCCCAGCUCCUGAGAUGUCUCUUCAAGAGGAGACUCCACUUCCCCCACUUGGCAGCCUGCAGACUCCACCUGCUUGGG
Molecule: long non-coding RNA, 154 nt
Organism: Pipistrellus kuhlii (Kuhl's pipistrelle)
Lineage: Eukaryota; Metazoa; Chordata; Mammalia; Chiroptera; Vespertilionidae
Exons: 3
Source: RefSeq, a predicted model, not a curated record